UGAUUUAUUUAUUUUACUUUUAUUUUAGUUAAUUAAUUUUGUUUAAUUUGAAUUAAAUUAUUUUAUUUAGUUUUAGUAUUAUUUUGAAUUAAUAAUUUAUGUUAUAGUUUAUUUGUACUGUUAAGGUUUAAUUAUUAAAGUUUUAUAGUAGACUUUUUUGUUGUACCUUUUGUAUCAGGGUAGAUUUAAUAAUAUAUUAUUUAUUUAAUAAUCUCGAUUUAAUUUGAUCUAAUUAAUUAUGUUAGUUAUAGUUUCAUAUCUAUUGACAAUAAUUAAUUAGGUGUGAUAUGCUAUUCAUAAAUUAAGGUAUCUAGUUUUCUAAGAAUUGAAUUUAAUUCAGCUAAUAUCAUUUAAUAUGGGUAUUAAAUUAUAUUUUAUUAUUUGUUUUUGGUAAUUCUUUGGGGGAUAAGCUCUGAAGAAAUAUUGUUUAUUAAAAUUUAUUAUUUAAUUAUUAUUAUGUAGGUUUUAUAUUAUCUAUCAUUAUUUAGUAUUUUAUAAUUUAUUAUAAUUUUUAUUUGAUUUAAGGUUUAAAAUUUAAUUAUUUAUUGGAAUAGGGUAAAACUAAUUUUUAAUUUUUGGUUAUAAUGAUUUAAUUAGUAUAUUUAUUUUUUAAUGAAUAAUAAAGAUCUAAUUGGUGUUAAUUUAUUUAAAGGAAUUAGGCAAAGCUAAAAUAAUUAGUGUUUAUUCGCCUGUUUAUCAAAAACAUCUUUUCUUGAGUUUUAUUUGAAAUUUGACCUGCCCAAUGAUUUUAUUUAAUGGCCGCAGUAUUCUUGACUGUGCAAAGGUAGCAUAAUCAUUAGUCUAUUAAUUGUGGGCUUGUAUGAAUGGUUGGACGAGAUAUUAUCUGUCUCUAUUUAAUUAUUAGAAUUUAAAUUUUAAGUUAAAAUGCUUAAAUUUACUUAUUGGACGAGAAGACCCUAUUGAUCUUUAUUAUAAUUGAGUUAUUUUAUUUUAGUUUAUAUUUAUAUUUAGUUUAUUUAUUGUUUUGUUGGGGUGACAAGAAGAUAUAUUUAACUCUUUAUUUUUAUUUUCAUUUAUUUAUGUUUAUUUGACCUUUUAUUAUUGUUAUAAGAUAUAGAUACCUUAGGGAUAACAGCGUAAUUUUCUCUGAGAGUUCUUAUUGACGAGAAGAUUGCGACCUCGAUGUUGGAUUAAGAUUAUAAUCAGGUGUAGAUGCUUGAUAUUAUAGGUCUGUUCGACCUUUAAAUUCUUACAUGAUCUGAGUUCAAACCGGCGUGAGCCAGGUUGGUUUCUAUCCUUAAAAUUCUUAUUUAUAUUAGUACGAAAGGACCAUAUAUUUUAAAUAUUUUAAAUAUUUUGAUUAUUUU
Molecule: ribosomal RNA, 1328 nt
Filed under: Phryganistria guangxiensis
Lineage: Eukaryota; Metazoa; Arthropoda; Insecta; Phasmatodea; Phasmatidae
Description: 16S ribosomal RNA
Rfam family: Archaeal large subunit ribosomal RNA (bases 1089-1247)
Source: RNAcentral